Molecule: ribosomal RNA, 465 nt
Filed under: uncultured Lactobacillus sp.
Lineage: Bacteria; Bacillati; Bacillota; Bacilli; Lactobacillales; Lactobacillaceae
Description: bacterial SSU rRNA
Rfam family: Bacterial small subunit ribosomal RNA
Source: RNAcentral
GAGUUUGAUCAUGGCUCAGGACGAACGCUGGCGGCAUGCCUAAUACAUGCAAGUCGAACGAGGUUUCCUUAAUGAUAGUUGGUGCUUGCAUUAAUUUGACUUAAGAUCUAACCGAGUGGCGAACUGGUGAGUAACACGUGGGGAACCUGCCCUUAAGUAGGGGAUAACAUUUGGAAACAAAUGCUAAUACCGUAUAACAACAUAAACCACAUGGUUUAUGUUUGAAAGAUGGCUCUGCUAUCGCUUUUGGAUGGACCCGCGGCGUAUUAGCUAGUUGGUGAGAUAAUGGCUCACCAAGGCGAUGAUACGUAGCCGACCUGAGAGGGUAAUCGGCCACAUUGGAACUGAGACACGGUCCAGACUCCUACGGGAGGCAGCAGUAGGGAAUCUUUCACAAUGGACGAAAGUCUGAUGAAGCAAUGCCGCGUGAGUGAAGAAGGGCUGCCGCUUGUAAAGCUCUUUCGU